UACGUAGGGAGCAAGCGUUGUUCGGAUUUACUGGGCGUAAAGGGCGCGUAGGCGGCGUGUCAAGUCGAUCGUGAAAUCUCCGGGCUUAACUCGGAACUGCCGAUCGAUACUGACGUGCUAGAGUGCAGAAGGGGCAAUCGGAAUUCUUGGUGUAGCGGUGAAAUGCGUAGAUAUCAAGAGGAACACCUGAGGUGAAGACGGGUUGCUAGGCUGACACUGACGCUGAAGCGCGAAAGCCAGGGGAGCAAACGGG
Molecule: ribosomal RNA, 253 nt
Filed under: uncultured prokaryote
Description: partial 16S ribosomal RNA
Rfam family: Bacterial small subunit ribosomal RNA
Source: RNAcentral